GAACCUGCAGAAGGAUCAUUU
RNAcentral lists this ribosomal RNA (21 nucleotides) under Alexandrium catenella. RNAcentral describes it as "partial 18S rRNA". The record is from RNAcentral. Lineage: Eukaryota; Dinophyceae; Gonyaulacales; Pyrocystaceae.